RNAcentral lists this ribosomal RNA (292 nucleotides) under uncultured bacterium. Its description in RNAcentral is "partial 16S ribosomal RNA". It matches the Rfam family "Bacterial small subunit ribosomal RNA", at positions 505 to 796 of the family's 1533-position model. The record is from RNAcentral.
GUGUCAGCAGCCGCGGUAAUACAGAGGUGGCAAGCGUUGUUCGGAUUUACUGGGCGUAAAGGGUGCGUAGGCGGAGUCGUGUGUCGGGUGUGAAAGCCCACGGAUCAUCUGUGGAAUGGCACUCGAAACUGCGACUCUAGAGUGCAGGAGAGGAGGGCGGAAUUCUCGGUGUAGCGGUGAAAUGCGUUGAUAUCGAGAGGAACGCCGGUGGCGAAGGCGGCCCUCUGGACUGACACUGACGCUGAGGCACGAAAGCUGGGGGAGCAAACAGGAUUAGAAACCCCUGUAGUCC